UACGUAGGGAGCGAGCGUUAUCCGGAUUUACUGGGUGUAAAGGGAGCGUAGACGGUACGCCAAGUCUGAAGUGAAAUGCCGCAGCUUAACUGCGGAACUGCUUUGGAAACUGGCGGGCUAGAGUGCGGGAGGGGUAAGCGGAAUUCCUAGUGUAGCGGUGAAAUGCGUAGAUAUUAGGAGGAACACCAGUGGCGAAGGCGACUUUCUGGACUGUACCUGACGCUGAGGCGCGAAAGCGUGGGUAGCGAACGGG
Molecule: ribosomal RNA, 253 nt
Filed under: uncultured Eubacteriales bacterium
Lineage: Bacteria; Bacillati; Bacillota; Clostridia; Eubacteriales
Description: uncultured Clostridiales bacterium partial 16S ribosomal RNA
Rfam family: Bacterial small subunit ribosomal RNA
Source: RNAcentral